GUUUCCGUAGUGUAGUGGUUAUCACAUCCGCUUAAAACGCGAAAGGUGCCCAGUUCGAUUCCGGGCGGUAACA
RNAcentral lists this transfer RNA (73 nucleotides) under Blattella germanica (German cockroach). Its description in RNAcentral is "tRNA-Phe (AAA) (tRNA-Phe-AAA-3-1)". It matches the Rfam family "tRNA". From Rfam's summary of the family: Transfer RNA (tRNA) molecules are approximately 80 nucleotides in length. Their secondary structure includes four short double-helical elements and three loops (D, anti-codon, and T loops). The record is from RNAcentral. Lineage: Eukaryota; Metazoa; Arthropoda; Insecta; Blattodea; Blattellidae.